CUGAAUUUAAGCAUAUUAAUGAGGGGAGGAAAAGAAACUAACAAGGAUUUUCUUAGUAGCGGCGAGCGAAAAGAAAAUAGUUCAGCACUAAGUCACUUUGUCUUUAUGGCAAAUGUGAGAUGCAGUGUAUGGAAUGUCAAAUUUCUAGUAUGAGAAAUUAACGAUUUAAGUCCUUCUUAAAUGAGGCCAUUUACCCAAAGAGGGUGCCAGGCCCGUAUAACGUUAAUGAUUACUAGAUGGCAUUUCCAAAGAGUCGUGUUGCUUGAUAGUGCAGCACUAAGUGGGUGGUAAACUCCAUCUAAAACUAAAUAUAACCAUGAGACCGAUAGUAAACAAGUACCGUGAGGGAAAGUUGAAAAGAACUCUGAAUAGAGAGUUAAAUAGUACGUGAAACUGCUUAGAGGUUAAGCCCGAUGAACCUGAAUAUCCAUUAUGGAAAAUUCAUCAUUAUGAUUUUAAUAUUUGUAAUAUUAUAAUAAUGGUGUGCAUUUUUUCUAUAAAGGACAUUGUAAUCUAUUAACUUUAAUAUAUUUAUCAUAAGAUCAUUAGAUUAUGUUUAUUCAAAUUAUUUUGCUUGCAAUUUAAUAUCGAAUAAAUUCUUUUGAUUUGAUAAAGUGUUGAUAGAUUUAUUAUAUACAGUGCUUAAAUAUUUAUAUUUUAUAAUAUCAUAUUAAUCAAUGAUUUUUAUGUUCAUUAUAUGCACUUGUAUGAUUAACAAUGCGAAAGAUUCAGGAUACCUUCGGGACCCGUCUUGAAACACGGACCAAGGAGUCUAACAUAUUUGCAAGUUAUUGGGAAUAAAAACCUAAUAGCGAAAUUAACAUAACUUUAAUGGGAUUAGUUUUUAGCCUAUUUAUAGUCUAUUAAUUCAAUCCCGGGGCGUUCUAUACAGUUAUGUAUAAUAAUAUUUAUAUUAUUUAUACCUCUAACUAGAGCGUACCUUGAGCAUAUAUGCUGUGACCCGAAAGAUGGUGAACUAUACUUGAUCAGGUUGAAGUCAGGGGAAACCCUGAUGGAAGACCGAAACAGUUCUGACGUGCAAAUCGAUUGUCAGAAUUGAGUAUAGGGGCGAAAGACCAAUCGAACCAUCUAGUAGCUGGUUCCCUCCGAAGUUUCCCUCAGGAUAGCUGGUGCAUUUAAAAAUUAUGUAAAAUAAUCUUAUCUGGUAAAGCGAAUGAUUAGAGGCCUUAGGGUCGAAACGAUCUUAACCUAUUCUCAAACUUUAAAUGGGUAAGAACCUCACCUUUCUUGGUAUGAAGGUUGUGGUUGUGAUAUAAUGUGCCCAGUGGGCCACUUUUGGUAAGCAGAACUGGCGCUGUGGGAUGAACCAAACGUAAUGUUACGGUGCCCAAAUUAACAACUCAUGCAGAUACCAUGAAAGGCGUUGGUUGCUUAAAACAGCAGGACGGUGGACAUGGAAGUCGUAAUCCGCUAAGGAGUGUGUAACAACUCACCUGCCGAAGCAACUAGCCCUUAAAAUGGAUGGCGCUUAAGUUGUAUACCUAUACAUUACCGCUAAAGUAGAUGGUUUAUAUUCAAUCUCGGUUGGAUUUUAAACUUUGAAACUUUAGUGAGUAGGAGGGUACAAUGGUAAGCAUAGAAGUGUUUGGCGUAAGCCUGCAUGGAGCUGCCAUUGGCACAGAUCUUGGUGGUAGUAGCAAAUAAUCGAAUGAGACCUUGGAGGACUGAAGUGGAGAAGGGUUUCGUGUGAACAGUGGUUGAUCACGAGUUAGUCGGUCCUAAGUUUAAGGCGAAAGCCGAAAAUUUUCAAGUUAUAAUGAAUAAGUAAAAUAUAUACAAGUAUAUAUAAGAAAAAGUAAUAAAACACUUGAAUAAUUUUGAACGAAAGGGAAUACGGUUCCAAUUCCGUAACCUGUUGAGUAUCCGUUUGUUAUUAAAUAUGGGCCUUGUGCUCAUCCUGGCAACAGGAACGACCAUAAAGAAGCCGUCGAGAGAUAUCGGAAGAGUUUUCUUUUCUGUUUUAUAGUCGUACUACCAUGGAAGUCUUUCGAAGAGAGAUAUGGUAGAUGGACUAGAAGAGCAUGACAUUUACUGUUGUGUCGAUAUUUUCUCCUCGGACCUUGAAAAUUUAUGGUGGGGUCACGCAAACUUCUCAACAGGCCGUACCAAUAUCCGCAGCUGGUCUCCAAGGUGAAGAGUCUCUAGUCGAUAGAAUAAUGUAGGUAAGG
This 2189-nucleotide ribosomal RNA is filed under the name Lucilia cuprina (Australian sheep blowfly). RNAcentral's name for it is "eukaryotic LSU rRNA". It matches the Rfam family "Eukaryotic large subunit ribosomal RNA", at positions 28 to 1909 of the family's 3401-position model. Lineage: Eukaryota; Metazoa; Arthropoda; Insecta; Diptera; Calliphoridae. The record is from RNAcentral.